GAUGAACGCUGGCGGCGUGCCUAAUACAUGCAAGUCGAGCGAACAGACGAGGAGCUUGCUCCUCUGACGUUAGCGGCGGACGGGUGAGUAACACGUGGAUAACCUACCUAUAAGACUGGGAUAAUUUCGGGAAACCGGAGCUAAUACCGGAUAAUAUAUUGAACCGCAUGGUUCAAUAGUGAAAUACGGUUUUGCUGUCACUUAUAGAUGGAUCCGCGCCGCAUUAGCUAGUUGGUAAGGUAACGGCUUACCAAGGCAACGAUGCGUAGCCGACCUGAGAGGGGGAUCGGCCACACUGGAGCGGGGACAGGGACCAGACGCCUACGAGAGGCAGCAGUAGGGAAUCUUCGGCAAUGGGCGAGAGCUUGACGGAGCAAGGCCGCGUGAGUGAUAAAGAUCUUCGGUGCGUAAAGCUCUGUUAUUAGGGAAAAACAAAUGUGUAAGUAACUAUGCACGUCGUGACGGUACCUAAUCAGAAAGCCACGGCUAACUACGUG
Molecule: ribosomal RNA, 497 nt
Filed under: uncultured bacterium
Lineage: Bacteria
Description: partial 16S ribosomal RNA
Rfam family: Bacterial small subunit ribosomal RNA
Source: RNAcentral